CACAUAUGACUUGAGUUGAGAUAGAGCUUUGCUCGUGUACCAAAUCAGGUGGGCUGGGCUGCCAUGGUGGAAAUGCUGUGGUGGCUUGUCCACGAAUUGCAAUCAUAAUAUGGGCGGGGGUGAAUCCUUUGCAGACGACUUGAAUGGGAACGGGGUACUGUAAGCGGUAGAGUAGCCUUGUUGCUACGAUCCGCUGAGGUUAAGCCCUUGUUCUAUAGAUUUGUUCAACAUUUUGGUGAACUCUUUUCUCUCUUCUUGGAGGUUGGGACUUGAGGGCCGGUCAAUCAGAGGUGAGUACUUGUCUGUGAGGGGGGGGGAGGACAUUGGACUAGAGUUGACGGCAUGAUGACUUUCAAUUCUCUUCCCCGUCCUAUGCGACUAUGCCGAGAAACAGAGCAGGCCUGUCUUUGAUGGGCCAGGGACUUUCAAAGUCCCACAGAGCACCAGCCAGUGCCCUUUGUCUGACCGGUCACAGUUCGAGUCCUCCCUUGUGUAUCAUAUAGUUAGUUGUAGUUCAGUCACUGACUGACCUCUAGGUGGACUCUGGGUGCAUGUUUCUGAUGUUGUGAGGCUAAGGUGAGUGACUCUGCCGUCUGGUCAAAUCUCUUGGGGUUUCCUCCCUUGUGCAUGAUGAAAAUCACCAUCCGACAUUCGCAGUUUUCACUCUAGUGCCCUCCCGGUCAGGGAGAACUCCCCCAAUGCGGAACAUCCACAUUCCUCCUUGAAGGCAUGCCUGAACCCACUAAAGGGCAUGUGCAAGUGUUAGGCCACCAGCUUUUGGCUGGUGUGCUGGAUGGGAAGCGGGGGUUGGUACGGUGCGGGGUCUGAACAGACCUUCCUUUGGAUGUCUGAAUCUGCACAAAGGAUGAAUGACUGAUUGGGCUGACUGACCUAUGGGUAUAUAGGGUUACUGAUGUAUG
This 920-nucleotide unclassified non-coding RNA is filed under the name Chlorophyllum brunneum. RNAcentral describes it as "partial miscellaneous RNA". The stretch from base 1 to 224 matches the Rfam family "Eukaryotic large subunit ribosomal RNA", at positions 3174 to 3401 of the family's 3401-position model. The record is from RNAcentral. Lineage: Eukaryota; Fungi; Basidiomycota; Agaricomycetes; Agaricales; Agaricaceae.